GCGGCAAACGGGUGAGUAAUAUCUGGGGAUCUACCCAAAAGAGGGGGAUAACUACUAGAAAUGGUAGCUAAUACCGCAUAAUGUUGAAAAACCAAAGUGGGGGACCUUUUGGCCUCAUGCUUUUGGAUGAACCCAGACGAGAUUAGCUUGUUGGUAGAGUAAUAGCCUACCAAGGCAACGAUCUCUAGCUGGUCUGAGAGGAUAACCAGCCACACUGGAACUGAGACACGGUCCAGACUCCUACGGGAGGCAGCAGUGGGGAAUAUUGCACAAUGGGCGAAAGCCUGAUGCAGCUAUGCCGCGUGUAUGAAGAAGGCCUUAGGGUUGUAAAGUACUUUCAGCGGGGAGGAAAAAAAUAAAACUAAUAAUUUUAU
RNAcentral lists this ribosomal RNA (374 nucleotides) under Uroleucon helianthicola. Its description in RNAcentral is "bacterial SSU rRNA". It matches the Rfam family "Bacterial small subunit ribosomal RNA", at positions 95 to 471 of the family's 1533-position model. RNAcentral also lists the same sequence under 1 other name. The record is from RNAcentral. Lineage: Eukaryota; Metazoa; Arthropoda; Insecta; Hemiptera; Aphididae.